CCCUACGGGGUGCCGCAGGAAGGAUAGCCUUUUACGCAGGUGAUCCACGCGCUGGUUGGUUUCUACGCCGGAAUUGUCGAUGAUGUUGGAGUUGAUCCCGCCGGGGAAAACGGUCAGGACGCGGAUUUUGGUAUGGCUCAGCUCGCAGCGCAGCCCUUCGGAGAGGGCUUUGAUGGCAGCCUUGGAGGCUCCGUAGAUGGUUUCUCCCGGCACGGGCGAUAGCGCCCCGGAACUGGAAACGUUGACGGUAUAGGCUUCGGGACGGGAGGAUAAAUGGGGGAGAAACGUCUUGGUCAUGUUGAGCAGGCCGUAAAAGUUGACGUUCACCACCCUUUGAACGGUGUCGAAGCCGGUUUGAUCGACACUCAGGAAGGGGUGGAUGAUCCCGGCGUUGUUGAUGACGGCGUCGACCCCGCCGUGAUGCGCCACAACCUGAUCGGGGAGAGC
This 447-nucleotide ribosomal RNA is filed under the name uncultured prokaryote. RNAcentral's name for it is "partial 16S ribosomal RNA". The record is from RNAcentral.